UAAUACCGAAUGUGGUCAAAAAGUCGCAUGGUUUUCUGACUAAAGGUGGCUUCGGCUACCGCUUAGAGAUGGGCUUGCGCACCAUUAGCUUGUUGGUGGGGUAAUGGCCUACCAAGGCUUUGAUGGUUAGCCGACCUGAGAGGGUGAUCGGCCACAUUGGGACUGAGAUACGGCCCAGACUCCUACGGGAGGCAGCAGUAGGGAAUUUUGCGCAAUGGACGAAAGUCUGACGCAGCAACGCCGCGUGAGGGAUGAAGGGUUUCGGCUCGUAAACCUCUGUUGAGUAGGAAGAAACGUCAUGGGGUUAAUACCCUCAUGGCCUGACGGUACUACUCGAGGAAGCUCCGGCUAACUACGUGCCAGCAGCCGCGGUAAUACGUAGGGGGCGAGCGUUGUUCGGAAUCACUGGGCGUAAAGGGAGCGUAGGCGGGAAGGUAAGUCAGAAGUCUAACACAUGGGCUUAACCCAUGUCCGGCUUUUGAUACUGCUUUUCUUGAGUAUGGGAGAGGAAGAUGGAAUUCCAGGUGUAGCGGUGGAAUGCGUAGAUAUCUGGAAGAACACCAGUUGCGAAGGCGGUCUUCUGGCCCAAUACUGACGCUGAGGCUCGAAAGCUAGGGGAGCAAACAGGAUUAGAUACCCUGGUAGUCCUAGCCAUAAACGAUGGACACUAGUUGGUGGAGGGAGUCAAUCUUUUCACUGACGAAGUUAACGCAUUAAGUGUCCCGCCUGGGGAGUACGCCCGCAAGGGUGAAACUCAAAGGAAUUGACGGGGGCCCGCACAAGCGGUGGAGCAUGUGCUUUAAUUCGAUGCAACGCGAAGAACCUUACCUGGGUUUGACAUGGGGGUGAAACUCUCCAGAGAUGGAGAGCCUUCCUUCGGGAACAUCCUACACAGGUGCUGCAUGGUUGUCGUCAGCUCGUGUCGUGAGAUGUUGGGUUAAGUCCCGCAACGAGCGCAACCCUCGUCCUUAGUUGCCAUCAGGUAAUGCUGGGAACUCUAGGGAGACUGCCUGGUCACAACCAGGAGGAAGGUGAGGAUGACGUCAAAUCAUCAUGGCUCUUACGCCCAGGGCUAGACACGUGCUACAAUGGUUGGUACAAUGGGAUGC
RNAcentral lists this ribosomal RNA (1109 nucleotides) under uncultured organism. Its description in RNAcentral is "bacterial SSU rRNA". It matches the Rfam family "Bacterial small subunit ribosomal RNA", at positions 164 to 1250 of the family's 1533-position model. The record is from RNAcentral.